This 925-nucleotide long non-coding RNA is filed under the name Sparus aurata (gilthead seabream). RNAcentral describes it as "lncRNA (ENSSAUG00010015073.1)". The record is from RNAcentral. Lineage: Eukaryota; Metazoa; Chordata; Actinopteri; Spariformes; Sparidae.
GUAAAAAUCAAAAAACUUAAUUUUCACGUUAUUCUGUUUUUGCUUUAAAACAGAAUAACAGCUACAAAAUGUGUGAUUUUGUGUUAUUCUGUUUUUCCGUAUUUCCGUUCUGGUUUUAAAACAAAAUAACAGAAAAACAAAGUAGUUUUUUAAAUGAUUUAUUACUAUUAUUAUUAAUUCUUAUUUUAAUUUGGUUCUGAAACGGGAAAACCAAAGAACGAAGGGUACACGGAUUCAUGACAACCGUUGAGCCUCGAGCAGUACUGUUUGAGUUGUAAAAUGUAAAUCAUGUAAUAUGGCGACUGUUACAGUUGUUUAUUGUAUUCAUUUUUAAUGUGUAGGGCAAGGAGCUGUACAGCAGAUCACCACCAGUAAUUUUAUUGUGUUUUUUUAAUUAUUCAACUGAUGUGCUGCGCUGCUAAAUAAUCUGCUGUGCUGUGAACCCAAGGAAAAGUCGUUGAGUGAUCUCUUCAGUCUGCUGAGGUUGAGCUGAAUAGAUGAGGUACAUCAUGCACUAUGGCACAUGGGAUGGAUGGGCAUCGGUUGAGAAGGCAUUUGGUGAGGUGAUCAUGGUCAAAGAAGUCCUCAUACACAAAUACUGCUGAAAGAUUAAAGUAAUGAAAUGCUCUGCAUUGUUGUGCAGCUGUGUGGAACACUGUUAGACACUUCUUUUAAGAAGUUUCACUGAGAAGAGACACAUUAAUAAACUGUCUUUACACUACCAGCUGAAAUAGUCAGUUGUUACAGGUUGGUUAAGGCAAUCUGCAUUUUUUUCUGAAGACAUCACUGUUGUCAGAAAUGUUAAAUGUUAUCAUGAUUCUGUGCAAACUGUGCUUUAUAAAGUGCUGCUGUGUUGUAUACUAAAGAUGGUGAUUUGAAUAAAGGUCUUUUUUCAUUUCAUUGCUCAUUUUUGUUUCCAAAGGAG